GAUGAACGCUGGCGGCGUGCCUAAUACAUGCAAGUCGAGCGAACAGACGAGGAGCUUGCUCCUCUGACGUUAGCGGCGGACGGGUGAGUAACACGUGGAUAACCUACCUAUAAGACUGGGAUAACUUCGGGAAACCGGAGCUAAUACCGGAUAUUAUAUUGAACCGCAUGGUUCAAUAGUGAAAGACGGUUUUGCUUUCACUUAUAGAUGGAUCCGCGCCGCAUUAGCUAGUUGGUAAGGUAACGGCUUACCAAGGCAACGAUGCGUAGCCGACCUGAGAGGGUGAUCGGCCACACUGGAACUGAGACACGGUCCAGACUCCUACGGGAGGCAGCAGUAGGGAAUCUUCCGCAAUGGGCGAAAGCCUGACGGAGCAACGCCGCGUGAGUGAUGAAGGUCUUCGGAUCGUAAAACUCUGUUAUUAGGGAAGAACAAAUGUGUAAGUAACUAUGCACGUCUUGACGGUACCUAAUCAGAAAGCCACGGCUAACUACGUG
This 497-nucleotide ribosomal RNA is filed under the name uncultured bacterium. RNAcentral's name for it is "partial 16S ribosomal RNA". It matches the Rfam family "Bacterial small subunit ribosomal RNA", at positions 28 to 507 of the family's 1533-position model. The record is from RNAcentral.